AUGGCGGCUGGGACUGGCCGGGUGCUGCCGCUGCUGGCCGUGGCGGCGGCGCUCGCGGCGACGCUCCUCUACACCGCGCCCUUCUCCAAGAGCCUCGGUGGGGAAGGGUGCAGCCUGCUCCCGCACAGCCACUUCUGGAUCGCCAGCCAGCGGGUCGUCGCGCUCGGCAGCGUCAGCCCCGCCGCAGGAAUAGCUGAUCAACGCCAUCUCCAUGGGGACUACCGGAGCUUCGUGCUCCGCCGCCUGCUCGUCGACUACGGGGACGCCAUCAUCAUGCCCGGCCUCAUCAACGUGGUUCUAAGGCUGCAGCCUGGGCACCAUCAGGGCACUUCUUGUUCCGCCACGAGCAGGGAGCGGAAGGCGCAUCCAGCGACCAGCAAGCGCAUGGGUGGCGCAAGUGGUGACAGAGAGCGGUCGGAGACUGUAAUUGAGCUUGUGCUGGUGCUGCUGAUCCUGCUUGGAUGGGCAUGCUGCCUCUUCCAUGUGGACUACAUGACAACCAUGGUGAGCUCUCUGCUCCCUGCAUCUUAUAGUAGUUGGCCUGAGAUUAUAGUUGGGCUGGAAAUGAACUUCUUCAGUUUGAUUUGUAAGAUAUAA
RNAcentral lists this ribosomal RNA (597 nucleotides) under Triticum aestivum (bread wheat). RNAcentral's name for it is "partial small subunit ribosomal RNA". Lineage: Eukaryota; Viridiplantae; Streptophyta; Magnoliopsida; Poales; Poaceae. The record is from RNAcentral.